GGACCGCCGAGAAUGGAGCCUACGCGCUCU
RNAcentral lists this small RNA (30 nucleotides) under Bombyx mori (domestic silkworm). RNAcentral describes it as "ovarian small RNA-17254". The record is from RNAcentral. Lineage: Eukaryota; Metazoa; Arthropoda; Insecta; Lepidoptera; Bombycidae.